Molecule: ribosomal RNA, 253 nt
Filed under: uncultured bacterium
Lineage: Bacteria
Description: partial 16S ribosomal RNA
Rfam family: Bacterial small subunit ribosomal RNA
Source: RNAcentral
UACGUAGGGUGCGAGCGUUGUCCGGAUUUAUUGGGCGUAAAGGGCUCGUAGGCGGCUUGUCGCGUCGGGAGUGAAAGCCCGUUGCUUAACGGCGGGUUGGCUUUCGGUACGGGCAUGCUGGAGUGCGGCAGGGGAGACUGGAAUUCCUGGUGUAGCGGUGGAAUGCGCAGAUAUCAGGAGGAACAUCGGUGGCGAAGGCGGGUCUCUGGGCCGUUACUGACGCUGAGGAGCGAAAGCGUGGGGAGCGAACAGG